RNAcentral lists this unclassified non-coding RNA (534 nucleotides) under Hevea brasiliensis (rubber tree). Lineage: Eukaryota; Viridiplantae; Streptophyta; Magnoliopsida; Malpighiales; Euphorbiaceae. The record is from RNAcentral.
UUUUCAUCCUGAUCACAACAAACUAGAGAGUAAAUCACCAUUUCAUCUAGCCAUGUUAAUUCACAAUAACAAAAAUAAAAGAACAGAAAAGGGGGAAAAAUUAAGGUUCUUAACUAUCUGUUCUACCAUCAGAUCAGAAGGGCGGUACUGACAAAACAUUCCUUGCACCACUAGCAGUUAGCAUAGCCAAACAUCAUGACUUCUUGAACAAAUGAUGUCGUGCUAACAUCUCUUCUACCCCCACUGCAGAAAUGCUUUCACAUCCAAGAAGCUCUCCGAGCUUUGCAUCACAUAAUAUCACCAUCGAAUUCAGUGGAUCCUCUAAUUGGUUAACCUUUAUGUACUCCCAAACACGCCUGGAAGCCUCUACUUGUGUCAUCUCGCUUCCUCCAGUGGUCCCCAAGAACUUGGCAAGAGCUUCAGAUAUCACCACUACAGAAGCACCAGAAUCAGUAUUUUCAGUUGUGGACUCAACAUCCACCUUCACUCGUUUAGCUUGACCACCCUCCUUUGUAGGUUCAAGAGGAAUGAUAU